GACGAACGCUGGCGGCGUGCUUAACACAUGCAAGUCGAGCGGUAAGGCCCCUUCGGGGGUACACGAGCGGCGAACGGGUGAGUAACACGUGAGCAAUCUGCCCAUCACAUCGGGAUAACUCCGGGAAACCGAAGCUAAUACCGAAUACGACCACCUCCGGCAUCGGAUGGUGGUGGAAAGUUCCGGCGGUGAUGGAUGAGCUCGCGGCCUAUCAGCUUGUUGGUGGGGUAACGGCCCACCAAGGCUUCGACGGGUAGCCGGCCUGAGAGGGUGACCGGCCACACUGGGACUGAGACACGGCCCAGACUCCUACGGGAGGCAGCAGUGGGGAAUAUUGGACAAUGGGCGGAAGCCUGAUCCAGCAACGCCGCGUGAGGGAUGACGGCCUUCGGGUUGUAAACCUCUUUCAGCAGGGACGAAGCGCAAGUGACGGUACCUGCAGAAGAAGCACCGGCCAACUACGUG
RNAcentral lists this ribosomal RNA (465 nucleotides) under uncultured bacterium. RNAcentral's name for it is "partial 16S ribosomal RNA". It matches the Rfam family "Bacterial small subunit ribosomal RNA", at positions 28 to 507 of the family's 1533-position model. The record is from RNAcentral.